UACAGAGGUCUCAAGCGUUUGUUCGGAUUUACUGGGCGUAAAGGGCGCGUAGGCGGUCAGCACAAGUCAGUUGUGAAAUCUCCGGGCUUAACCCGGAAAGGUCAACUGAUACUGUGCGACUAGAGUGCGGAAGGGGCAACUGGAAUUCUCGGUGUAGCGGUGAAAUGCGUAGAUAUCGAGAGGAACACCUGCGGCGAAGGCGGGUUGCUGGGCCGACACUGACGCUGAUGCGCGAAAAGCCAGGGGAGCGAACGGGG
RNAcentral lists this ribosomal RNA (257 nucleotides) under uncultured bacterium. RNAcentral describes it as "partial 16S ribosomal RNA". It matches the Rfam family "Bacterial small subunit ribosomal RNA", at positions 524 to 777 of the family's 1533-position model. The record is from RNAcentral.